This 516-nucleotide ribosomal RNA is filed under the name uncultured bacterium. RNAcentral's name for it is "partial 16S ribosomal RNA". It matches the Rfam family "Bacterial small subunit ribosomal RNA", at positions 29 to 523 of the family's 1533-position model. The record is from RNAcentral.
AGCGAACGCUGGCGGCGUGCCUAACACAUGCAAGUCGAACGUGAAAGGGAGCAAUCCCAAGUAAAGUGGCGUACGGGUGAGUAACACGUAGGUAAUCUACCCCAGAGUCUGGAAUAACCUGCCGAAAGGCGGGCUAAUACUGGAUAGAGCGACGGAAUCCGUAAUUGGGUUUUUCGGGAAAGGGAGGAAGCAAUUCCCUUCGCUCUGGGAUGAGCCUGCGUCUGAUUAGCUAGUUGGUGGGGUAACGGCCCACCAAGGCAAUGAUCGGUAGCUGGUCUGAGAGGCUGAUCCGCCACACUGGAACUGAAACACGGUCCAGGCUCCUACGGGAGGCAGCAGUGGGGAAUCUUGCGCAAUGGACGAAAGUCUGACGCAGCCACGCCGCGUGAGUGAAGAAGGCCUUCGGGUUGUAAAGCUCUGUCGGGCGGGACGAAAACUUUUAGGGUGAAUAGCCCUAGGAAUUGACGGUACCGCCAAAGGAAGCACCGGCUAACUUCGUGCCAGCAGCCGCAGUAA